Molecule: long non-coding RNA, 331 nt
Filed under: Panax ginseng (ginseng)
Lineage: Eukaryota; Viridiplantae; Streptophyta; Magnoliopsida; Apiales; Araliaceae
Description: long non-coding RNA (PGIN_LNC007416)
Source: RNAcentral
UGUUCUUGAAAAUGGAGGAAAUUUCAACUAUGGAGAAGAAGUGAAAAUGGGGAAUGACGAUUAGUUAAUGGGUGUUCUUGAAAAUGGAGGAAAUUUCAACUACGGAGAAGAAGUGAAAAUGGGGAAUGACGAUUAGUUAAUGGAUGUUCUUGAAAAUGGAGGAAAUUUCAACUACGGAGAAGAAGUGAAAAUGGGGAAUGACGAGGAAGAAGGAAAGAGGGGUUGAAGUAGAGAGUGAUUAGACAUUAAUGAUGGCCUUUAAUUUUUGUGUUGGGAAGGGGAAUUGGAGGAGUAGUGAUGGUACAAAAGGUGUGAAGAAGAAAGGGGGAAG